CUGAUCACGAGAGCACUUAAGAUCUCGAAGUGUGUGGAAGGGUGUCCAAGAAAAGCUUCUAAACGUUAAAGCAAGGUCGACCGUACUAAAACUGACACAGGUAGGUGAGAAGAGUAUUCUAAGGCGCUCGGGAGAACGGUGGUUAAGGAACUCUGCAAAAUGGCUCCGUAAGUUCGCGAUAAGGGGCGCCUACGCAAGUAGGCCACAGAAAAUCGGCAGCAGCGACUGUUUAUCAAAAACACAGGACUCUGCGAACUCGUAAGAGGAGGUAUAGAGUCUGACGCCUGCCCGGUGCUGGUAGGUUAAGGAAGAGAGUUAGCCUCACGGCGAAGCCCGCGACCGAAGCCCCAGUAAACGGCGGCCCUAACUAUGAGGGUCCUAAGGUAGCGAAGUUCCUUGUCGGGUAAGUUCCGACCUGCACGAAAGGCGUAACGACUGCUGCACUGUCUCAACCACCGACCCGGUGAAAUUGUAGUUGUGGUGAAGAUGCCACAUACCCGCGGCUAGACGGAAAGACCCCAUGAACCUUCACUGUAGGCUGAUAUUGGGUUGAGGUAUGUUCUGUGCAGAAUAGCUGGGAGGCUUUGAACUGGGGACGCAAGUCUUCAGGGAGUCAACGUUGAGAUACCAGCCUGGAUAUGCUUUAAUUCUAACUUUGACCCAUGAAUCUGGGCUUAGGACAUUGUCAGUCGGGCAGUUUGACUGGGGCGGUCUCCUCCUAAAAAGUAACGGAGGAGCGCAAUGGUACCCUCAGCCUGGUCGGCAAUCAGGCAAAGAGCGUAAAGGUAAAAGGGUGCUUGACUGUGAGACAAAUAAGUCGAACAGGUACGAAAGUAGGCCUUAGUGAUCCGGUAAUUCCGAAUGGAAGGGUUAUCGCUCAUCAGAUAAAAGGUACUCUGGGGAUAACAGGCUUAUCGCCACCGAGCGUCCACAGCGGCGUGGCGGUUUGGCACCUCGAUGUCGGCUCAUCGCAUCCUGGGGGUGAAGAAGCUCCCAAGGGUUUGGCUGUUCGCCAAUGAAAGCGGUACGUGAGCUGGGUCCAGACCGUCGUGAGACAGGUCGGUCCCUAUCUACCGUGGGCGCACGAAACUUGAGGAGGAUCAACCUUAGUACGAGAGGAUUUGGUUGGACUUAGCUCUGGUGUACCAGUUGUCACGCUAGUGGCACGGCUGGAUAGCUAACUAGGGAAAGGAUAAACGCUGAAAGCAUCUAAGCGUGAAGCCCUCUCCAAGACUAGGUUUCGUAGCUACUUGUAGCGAGAGUCCCCUGGUAGACUACCAGGUUGAUAGGACAGAUGUGUACGCACCGUAAGGUGUUUAGCUAACUGUUACUAACGGACGAACGCUUGACCAU
This 1353-nucleotide ribosomal RNA is filed under the name metagenome. Its description in RNAcentral is "bacterial LSU rRNA". It matches the Rfam family "Bacterial large subunit ribosomal RNA", at positions 1563 to 2925 of the family's 2925-position model. The record is from RNAcentral.